UUACUUUUUUCGUAGUCAAACUUUUUUAAGUUUGACUAAAUUUAUAAAAAAAUAUAGCAAUAUUUUCAACACAAAAUAAACAUAUUAUCUAAAUAUAUUCAAUGUUACAUUUAAUGAAACUAAUUUGGUUUUGUAGAUGUUGCUAAUUUUUUCUAUAAACUUAGUCAAACCGAAAGAAGUUUGAUUAGGAAAAAAGUCAA
This 200-nucleotide microRNA precursor is filed under the name Oryza punctata. RNAcentral's name for it is "MIR1435 microRNA precursor family". It matches the Rfam family "MIR1435 microRNA precursor family". Lineage: Eukaryota; Viridiplantae; Streptophyta; Magnoliopsida; Poales; Poaceae. The record is from Rfam by way of RNAcentral.